This 1328-nucleotide ribosomal RNA is filed under the name metagenome. RNAcentral's name for it is "bacterial LSU rRNA". It matches the Rfam family "Bacterial large subunit ribosomal RNA", at positions 1463 to 2873 of the family's 2925-position model. The record is from RNAcentral.
AAAAAAGAGACGGAGCUCCAGACUCUGCGGGACUGUCAGAUGUCCAGGCCCUUGAGGCCGAUGCAGGGAAAGGGGCUUCCUAGAAAAUCUGGGUGUGCCCGUACCAAAACUGACACAGGUGCACGAGGCGAAUAGCCUAAGGCGCUCGAGAGAACGGUCGUGAAGGAACUAGGCAAUUUAACUCCGUAAGUUCGCGAUAAGGAGGGCCUACUCUCGCAAGAGAGAGGCCGCAGAGAAAAGGAUCUGGGAACUGUUUAUCAAAAACACAGCUCUGUGCUAACUCGCAAGAGGAUGUAUACAGAGUGACGCUUGCUCAAUGCCGGAAUGUCACGGGAGCGGGUCAUCGAAAGAGAAGCUCGCGACUCAAGCACCGGUGAAUAGCGGCCGUAACUAUGACGGUCCUAAGGUAGCGAAGUUCCUUGUCGGGUAAGUUCCGACGCGCAUGAAUAGCGUAAUCACUGGAUCCCUGUCUCCACGACCGACUCGGUGAAAUAGUAGUGGCGGUGUAGAUGCCGUCUACCCGCAGCAAGACGGAAAGACCCCGUGGACCUUUACUAUAGGUUUCUACUGGACACGAGCAUAAACUGCGUAGCAUAGGUGGGACCCUUUGAAGAGCCUGUUUCGGCGGGCAUGGAGGGAACAAGUGAAAUACCACCCUGUUUGCGUUUGUGUCCUAACGCUGAUUCCCAUGAAACUGGGCAGCGGACAAUGGGAGCUGGGUAGUUUGACUGGGGCGGUCUCCUCCCAAAGUGUAACGGAGGAGUGCAAAGGUCGGCUCAUCACGGAUGGAAACCGUGUGAAGAGUGCAAGCGCACAAGCCGGCUUUUACUGUGAGACCGACGGGUCGAACAGUUGCGAAAGCAGGCGCUAGUGAUCCUGCGGUCCCGUAUGGAAGGGCCGUAGCUCAUCGGAUAAAAGGUACCCCGGGGAUAACAGGCUGAUCGCGCCCGAGCGUCCAUAGCGGCGGCGCGGUUUGGCACCUCGAUGUCGGCUCAUCACAUCCUGGGGCUGAAGGCGGUCCCAAGGGUUCGGCUGUUCGCCGAUUAAAGUGGUACGCGAGCUGGGUUCAGACCGGCGUGAGCCAGGUCGGUCCCUAUCUGCUGUGGGCGUUCCAAGCUUGAGAGGAGUCAACUUUAGUACGAGAGGAUUGGGUUGGACGAACCCCUGGUGAUCCAAUUGGACUGCUAAGUCCACAGUUGGGUAGCUACGUUCGGCAGGGAUAAAAGCUGAAAGCAUCUAAGCUUGAAGCCCCCCUCAAGAUGAGGCUUGGUUGUCGCAAGACGAAAGACCCCUGGAAGACCACCAGGUUGAUCGGCCGCAGGUGUAAG